Molecule: ribosomal RNA, 253 nt
Filed under: uncultured bacterium
Lineage: Bacteria
Description: partial 16S ribosomal RNA
Rfam family: Bacterial small subunit ribosomal RNA
Source: RNAcentral
UACGUAGGGUGCGAGCGUUGUCCGGAAUUAUUGGGCGUAAAGAGCUCGUAGGCGGUUUGUCACGUCGGCUGUGAAAACCCGAGGCUCAACCUCGGGCCUGCAGUCGAUACGGGCAGGCUAGAGUAUGGCAGGGGAGACUGGAAUUCCUGGUGUAGCGGUGAAAUGCGCAGAUAUCAGGAGGAACACCGGUGGCGAAGGCGGGUCUCUGGGCCAUAACUGACGCUGAGGAGCGAAAGCGUGGGGAGCGAACAGG